Ctenopharyngodon idella (grass carp) is the source of this 1609-nucleotide long non-coding RNA. RefSeq lists it as uncharacterized. The transcript has 5 exons. NCBI's taxonomy places the organism in Eukaryota, Metazoa, Chordata, Actinopteri, Cypriniformes, Xenocyprididae. The record is from RefSeq and is a predicted model, not a curated record.
UUUAUACGCUUUUAUGUAUGUUAAACGCUCUUCACUGCGCGCUCAGGUGAUUCAUUCAUCUUCACGCGCGCAGCGGUGGGAGGGGUCUCGUACCUGUGGUAGUGGGUGAUAUCCGCCAUGUUUGUGCGGUUUGGAGCGGACGCAAAGAAGUGUUAUCAUUGCUGAAGAAAUGGCAGAUUUUAAUCCCCAGACACCAAGCAGUGCAAGCCCUGAAGAAAUAAGACCAUGGACAUCAUCUUCUCUGACUGAACUAGCAUGGAGCUGUUGGAGCCAAUGAGUAAGCUGCUAAGUUCAAGUGGAAUGUUUAAUGAUUAUUUCUAAGUUUACUGAGCGAUGUAAACUGCUGUCAUCCACAUCACAUCAUUGCUCUAACCGACAUUACCAGAAGAAUCUUUUCAGCGUGGCAGAUAUUCACAAGCGUCUGGAGCGAACUUAUGCUGAACUGGAUGUUUACUGGAGAGUGAGCUUCAACACUUAAGGUAACUUCAAUUGAGUUGAAAUGCAAGUUGCGUGAUGUCUCCUCAGAUAACUGGACACAGACUCGACUAUCUUUUCUACAUCCACUGUUGGUUAUACACUUGUGUGUUUUUGGUUUUCUAGGUUUGUACAAAGUUACACCAUAUCACUGAAAACAACACGCAUCAACAGAUUUCAGAGACUCUGCGUGACAUUUUAAAUGUUUAUGAUCUUCAGGGUGUGCAUGAUGUCAACAUGAAACUGUAGCCCUCCGUGCUCUUCAGUGUACCUGUGUGAGGAGGACCCACAAUUCUUCAAGACUUGAGGCGUUGGGAGAGCCAGACAUCACUGAUUUUGUCAGUGUGGUCAACGAAACGAAAGCACAAGUCCUUUCAAGCACUGCAGUUGUUAUAGAAGAUGAUCUUCAGUUUUGGCAUGUUCAGAAGCACUUGUUCACACAGUCACAGGACUAAUCUUCAAAAAAAUCUUCAAUUGUACAGCUGAAGGUUUAUUUUAUGUAUUUAAUUUUUUAGGUGUUGUUUGUUUUUGUCUUUUGAGUUAGUAUUUUUAUGUAAUGAAGUCCUGCAGAGGUGCCUGAUCCUGUUCCUGGAGAUCUACCUGCCUGCAGAGUUCAGCUAAGUUAUUCAGCUAAUUAUUUUGCUAAGUACAAAAUGUGUUUAACAGCAAAACUUUUUCCAUUUACCAAUGUGUUUACAACAUUUUUUUUUUUAAGUUUGUCUAUACUAAUUUUACAGUCUGUGUAUAAGUAAAUACCAGUGUAUAAUUUUUUUCAAAAUGUGGUAAAUGUUAUUUAUGUAUUUAUAUAAUUAAAAUGUAAGUAAUGUUGGCUGAGUAUCAAAUUUAAAUGAAAAAUGUAUGAACAGUAUGGUAGAAAUAUAAACGGGGCUGGCCGUUUCUGGCGCGCUGUGCGCAUACCGGCUUGAUUGCGGCAGUGUCGGCAAGGUAACGGCUGCCGCAUCUGGCCCGAUUGAUUCGGCCCGGAAUUAGGCAGUGAGUACACAGGAAUCCGGCCCGAUCGCUGCAGAAAGAAACGGGCCGAGUGGUAAGUCUCCGGCAGGCGAGAAUCUAACAGGAACUGGCCCGAGUGUAUUUUGCUAUCUCUCUCCAUCUGUAAAUGUCAUUGGCUGUUAAA